AGUGAACGCUGGCGGUAGGCCUAACACAUGCAAGUCGAACGGCAGCACAGUAAGAGCUUGCUCUUACGGGUGGCGAGUGGCGGACGGGUGAGGAAUACAUCGGAAUCUACUUUUUCGUGGGGGAUAACGUAGGGAAACUUACGCUAAUACCGCAUACGACCUACGGGUGAAAGCAGGGGAUCUUCGGACCUUGCGCGAUUGAAUGAGCCGAUGUCGGAUUAGCUAGUUGGCGGGGUAACGGACCACCAAGGCGACGAUCCGUAGCUGGUCUGAGAGGAUGAUCAGCCACACUGGAACUGAGACACGGUCCAGACUCCUACGGGAGGCAGCAGUGGGGAAUAUUGGACAAUGGGCGCAAGCCUGAUCCAGCCAUACCGCGUGGGUGAAGAAGGCCUUCGGGUUGUAAAGCCCUUUUGUUGGGAAAGAAAAGCAGCAGGUUAAUACCCCGCUGUUCUGACGGUACCCAAAGAAUAAGCACCGGCUAACUUCGUG
This 492-nucleotide ribosomal RNA is filed under the name uncultured bacterium. Its description in RNAcentral is "partial 16S ribosomal RNA". It matches the Rfam family "Bacterial small subunit ribosomal RNA", at positions 29 to 507 of the family's 1533-position model. The record is from RNAcentral.